CACUGCAUCAGUUUGAACAUGUUGAAAAUAUACCUAAAUUUUAUUUUAAACAUUCUUAAGGAACGUACGAGUGUACGACUCUUUAGCACACAUACGUAGACUAAAAUUAGAGACCCUCUCAAAGAAGCAUCUUCAUGACACGGCAGCGAUCACGUGGAGAAAGGCAAAAGAUCUUCG
Long non-coding RNA from Daphnia pulicaria, 177 nucleotides. RefSeq lists it as uncharacterized. NCBI's taxonomy places the organism in Eukaryota, Metazoa, Arthropoda, Branchiopoda, Diplostraca, Daphniidae. The record is from RefSeq and is a predicted model, not a curated record. The transcript is spliced from 2 exons.